This 275-nucleotide unclassified non-coding RNA is filed under the name Hevea brasiliensis (rubber tree). The record is from RNAcentral. Lineage: Eukaryota; Viridiplantae; Streptophyta; Magnoliopsida; Malpighiales; Euphorbiaceae.
GGAAAGCGAAGGAGAAGUCGUAAAUUGAUUAGUAUUUGAAAUUGGAAGUUGGUUGACAGAAAAGGAAAUGAAGAGGAAAAAAAAACUCAAUGUUUGAAUACUUUUGAAAUUUGAUUUGAUUGCAGAGGAAAUGAAGUGAAAUUUAUAGUUUGUUCAGGAUUUAAAAUUUGAAAUUUAGUAUGUAAUAGUAAACAAAAAAGGAAAAAAAUGGCAAUUAGAUCAUUUUUCUUAGGAGUGAAGUAGCUUUUUAAUUUUUUGGGUGUAUUUAAAUUGGG